Molecule: ribosomal RNA, 65 nt
Filed under: uncultured bacterium
Lineage: Bacteria
Description: partial 16S ribosomal RNA
Source: RNAcentral
GUCACCGGCGUUAACCCGCGAAGGGAGAACAGGCGACCGAAGGUAUGGCUGGUAGAUUGGGAGUG